AACGAACGCUGGCGGCAUGCCUAACACAUGCCAGUCGAACGAGACCUUCGGGUCUAGUGGCGCACGGGUGCGUAACGCGUGGGAAUCUGCCCUUGGGUUCGGGAUAACAGUUGGAAACGACUGCUAAUACCGGAUGAUGACUUCGGUCCAAAGAUUUAUCGCCCAGGGAUGAGCCCGCGUCGGAUUAGCUAGUUGGUGAGGUAAGAGCUCACCAAGGCGACGAUCCGUAGCUGGUCUGAGAGGAUGAUCAGCCACACUGGGACUGAGACACGGCCCAGACUCCUACGGGAGGCAGCAGUGGGGAAUAUUGGACAAUGGGCGAAAGCCUGAUCCAGCAAUGCCGCGUGAGUGAUGAAGGCCUUAGGGUUGUAAAGCUCUUUUACCCGGGAUGAUAAUGACAGUACCGGGAGAAUAAGCCCCGGCUAACUCCGUG
RNAcentral lists this ribosomal RNA (433 nucleotides) under uncultured bacterium. Its description in RNAcentral is "partial 16S ribosomal RNA". It matches the Rfam family "Bacterial small subunit ribosomal RNA", at positions 29 to 507 of the family's 1533-position model. The record is from RNAcentral.